RNAcentral lists this transfer RNA (71 nucleotides) under Marmota monax (woodchuck). RNAcentral's name for it is "tRNA.Ala". The record is from RNAcentral. Lineage: Eukaryota; Metazoa; Chordata; Mammalia; Rodentia; Sciuridae.
GGGAAUGUAGCUCAGUGGUAGAGUGUUUGCCUAGCAUGUGCAAGGCUCUGGGUUUGAUGCCAAGCUUCCUG